Molecule: ribosomal RNA, 408 nt
Filed under: uncultured bacterium
Lineage: Bacteria
Description: partial 16S ribosomal RNA
Rfam family: Bacterial small subunit ribosomal RNA
Source: RNAcentral
AGUGAACGCUGGCGGCGUGCCUAAUACAUGCAAGUCGAACGGAGUGGCGCACGGGUGAGUAAUAUAUAUCUAACUUGCCCAUUACUAAGGGACAACAGUUGGAAACGACUGCUAAUACCUUAUAGUAAUGGAUAGGGCUAUAUCGUAUCAGCUAGUUGGUAAGGUAACGGCUUACCAAGGCGAUGACGCGUAACUGGUCUGAGAGGAUGAUCAGUCACACUGGACGUGAGGCACGGUGCGGAAUCCUACGGGAGGCAGCAGUAGGGUAUAUUGCUCAAUGGGGGAAACCCUGAAGCAGCAACGGCGCGUAGAGGAUGUCACGUGUCGGAGCGUAAGCUCCUUUUCAUGGGAAAGCGGUACCCAAGGAAUAAGCACCGGCUAACUCCGUGCCAGCAGCCGCGGUAAUUC